This 227-nucleotide non-coding RNA is filed under the name Listeria monocytogenes. RNAcentral describes it as "T-box". It matches the Rfam family "T-box leader". From Rfam's summary of the family: Uncharged tRNA acts as the effector for transcription antitermination of genes in the T-box leader family. The record is from RNAcentral. Lineage: Bacteria; Bacillati; Bacillota; Bacilli; Caryophanales; Listeriaceae.
ACGAAAACAUGAAACAAGAAUAGUACUUUUUCAUCGAUUUUUAAAGAGAGUUAGCGUUUGGUGGGAGCUAAUAAAUAGAUGAAUUAGGAAUGGGCCUUGUGCGUGAUACCUUGAAAUUAAGUAGGGGUGAACGGGUGCUCCCGUUAUAGAGCGACUGCAAAUAUUGCAGUACUGAGAUAGGGAGAAUUCCCUAAAAUGAGGUGGCACCGCGAUAACUCGUCCUCUGA